GCAAUAAACCUAGCCCAACCAACUAACUAAUACUCAACAAAUAACAACCAUCAACUACCACUUUAAACCUUAAAACAUUCUACUUGUCUAAGUAUAGGAGAUAGGAAAAGACCACUGGAGCUAUAAAAAUAGUACCGUAAGGGAAAGAUGAAAAACAUGAAACACCCAUCCAAGCAAAAAAAAGCAAAGAUUAAACCUUGUACCUUUUGCAUAAUGAUUUAGCUAGCAUACUUCAAGCAAAGAGGACUAAAGUAUGAAACCCCGAAACUAAGUGAGCUACUUAUAAGCAGCUUAUAACAAAAGCUUCUUAACCGUCUCUGUGGCAAAAGAGUGGUAAGACUUACAAGUAGAAGUGAAAAGCCUAACGAACUUAGUAAUAGCUGGUUGCUCAGGAAAAGAAUAAAAGUUCUACCUUAAACCCUCCAACAGACACAACAAAGUCUCACCUAAAGAGAAAUUUAAGAGAUAUUUAGUAGGGGUACAGCCCAACUAACAAAGGAAACAACCAAAUACGGAGGAAAAAAUUUUAAACAAUACAUCCGUAGGCCUUAAAGCAGCCACCACUAAAAUAAAGCGUUAAAGCUAAACCACAAUAAAUAUUAAUAAAAAUUUAUUUCCCCAAGUUUCUACUGAGCUAUUCUACCCAUGUAGAAGGAUUAAUGCUAAAAUGAGUAACAAGAAUUAAAAACUUCUCUAAGCAUUAGCUUAAAUCAGCAUAGAUAUACUACUGAUUAUUAACAACUAAACCCAUAGAAACAAACAAAACUUAACAAAUUCUAUAGACAAAACUGUUAACCCGACACAGGAAUGCAUACAAGAAAGAUUAAAAUUUGUAAAAGGAACUAGGCAAACAAAGAACCCGACUGUUUACCAAAAACAUAGCUCCUAGCAUCACAAGUAUUAGGAGUGAUGCCUGCCCAGUGACACUGUUUAACGGCCGCGGUAUCCUGACCGUGCGAAGGUAGCGUAAUCACUCGUCUUUUAAAUAAAGACUAGAAUGAAUGGCUAAACGAGGUUCUAUCUGUCUCUUACAAACAAUCAGUGAAAUUGAUCCCCCCGUGCAAAAGCGAGAAUAAUACCAUAAGACGAGAAGACCCUGUGGAACUUUAAGUAUAAGUCAUCACCAUUAACCUACUACUCAACAGAAUUAACACUACUCAUAACCUUCCUGACUUCCAACUUUCGGUUGGGGCGACCUCGGAGAAAAAUAAAACCUCCGAAAAUUACUACUAAGACAAUACAAACCUAAGUGCCUACGGCAAAACGAUCCAAUAUACUUGAUCAACGAACCAAGCUACCCCAGGGAUAACAGCGCAAUCCCCUCUUAGAGUCCAUAUCAAUGACGGGGGUUUACGACCUCGAUGUUGGAUCAGGACACCCUAAUGGUGCAGCCGCUAUUAAGGGUUCGUUUGUUCAACGAUUAAUAGUCCUACGUGAUCUGAGUUCAGACCGGAGUAAUCCAGGUCGGUUUCUAUCUAUGAUUACAAAUUUUCUAGUACGAAAGGAUUGAAAAUAUAUAGCCCAUGUAAAAAACACGCUAUACUCUGCAUUAGUGAACAUAACUAAACUAAGUACAAAGACAGAACCCAUCUACAAAACCUUAAAUAAAGGC
This 1612-nucleotide ribosomal RNA is filed under the name Myuchelys georgesi (Bellinger river turtle). RNAcentral's name for it is "16S ribosomal RNA". It matches the Rfam family "Bacterial large subunit ribosomal RNA". The record is from RNAcentral. Lineage: Eukaryota; Metazoa; Chordata; Testudines; Chelidae.